This 837-nucleotide non-coding RNA is filed under the name Conchocele cf. bisecta HPD1644. Lineage: Eukaryota; Metazoa; Mollusca; Bivalvia; Lucinida; Thyasiridae. The record is from RNAcentral.
GCUAUUUGGUUUUGGUAGGAAAUUAGUAUAAAUUUUUGUAUAAACACAUGAUAGUCUUAGCGAAUUGUGAGGAAGUAAUAAGAAAUAAAAAUAAUUAAUUUAAGGUUUCUUACUUGAUUUAGUAAAAAUGCAAUGAUUCAAUAAGUUACACAACUUCAGUGAUAAAGUUUAAACAAUUAUUUAUAAGAUAGAUUAAAUAUCAAAAAAUAAGGGGAGGCUAAAUAAAGUGCCAGCAGCUGCGGUUAAACUUUUUCUUCAAGCUAAUUAAUUUGUGGUAAGUUUUUUAACUUAAAUAGUAAAAGAAAAUACACUUUUUUUAAGUAAGCCUAUGAAUAAGAAGAGCUGUCUUUUUAAAGUUAAUAUAACGAAGUCUGUUAUUGUGACUAGGUUACUACCUAUUAAUAAAGAUGUAAAAUAUAUGACGGGGACUACGAACUAUUGUUUAAAGUCUAAAAAACUUGGCGGUGCAUUAAAUCCUUUUAGGGGAACCUGACGGUUAAUUCGAUGAUCCUCGUAAUACCUUACCUUAAAAUAAGCUGCUAUACCGCCGUUGCCAGCGGAGUCUUUGAAGAGGCAUUAUAUCUGCUAAAUAAAUAUAAAUUAUAUUUAGGAUUUCAGGUAAACGUGGUGCAAAUUUUACAGGCCUUAGUUGGGUUACAAAUUUAGAAAAAUUGAAAUUUAAAGUGAAAUAAUUAAAUGAAAUAGGACUUAAAAGUAAUUUUUUAAAAGAGAGAGAAAAUGAAGUGGUAAUAAUGUGCGUACAAACCGCCCGAUGCUCCCCUAUAACUCGAAAUGGGGAUAAGUCGAAACAUGGUAAUACUAGUAGAAACUGGUAUU